UACGUAGGGUGCGAGCGUUAAUCGGAUUUACUGGGCGUAAAGCGUGCGCAGGCGGCCCGUUAAGACAGGUGUGAAAUCCCUGGGCUCAAUCUAGGAAUUGCGCUUGUGACUGGCGGGCUCGAGUACGGUAGAGGGGGGUGGAAUUCCUGGUGUAGCAGUGAAAUGCGUAGAGAUCAGGAGGAACACCGAUGGCGAAGGCAGCCCCCUGGGCCUGUACUGACGCUCAUGCACGAAAGCGUGGGGAGCAAACAGG
Molecule: ribosomal RNA, 253 nt
Filed under: uncultured microorganism
Description: partial 16S ribosomal RNA
Rfam family: Bacterial small subunit ribosomal RNA
Source: RNAcentral